Molecule: ribosomal RNA, 519 nt
Filed under: uncultured Glomus
Lineage: Eukaryota; Fungi; Glomeromycota; Glomeromycetes; Glomerales; Glomeraceae
Description: SSU rRNA
Rfam family: Eukaryotic small subunit ribosomal RNA
Source: RNAcentral
AGCAGCCGCGGUAAUUCCAGCUCCAAUAGCGUAUAUUAAAGUUGUUGCAGUUAAAAAGCUCGUAGUUGAAUUUCGGGAUUAGUAUGUUGGUCGUGCCUUUGGUACGUACUGGUGUUACUGAUUCCUACCUUCUGACGAACCAUCAUGUCAUUUAUUUGGUGUGGCGGGGAAUCAGGACUGUUACUUUGAAAAAAUUAGAGUGUUUAAAGCAGGCUCGCGCUUGAAUACAUUAGCAUGGAAUAAUGAAAUAGGACGUUGACCCUAUUUUGUUGGUUUCUAGGAUUGACGUAAUGAUUAAUAGGGAUAGUUGGGGGCAUUAGUAUUCAAUUGUCAGAGGUGAAAUUCUUGGAUUUAUUGAAGACUAACUACUGCGAAAGCAUUUGCCAAGGAUGUUUUCAUUAAUCAAGAACGAAAGUUAGGGGAUCGAAGACGAUCAGAUACCGUCGUAGUCUUAACCAUAAACUAUGCCGACUAGGGAUCGGAUGAUGUUAUUUUUAAUGACUCAUUCGGCGCCUUACG